GGUAACGUGGCCGAGUGGUCUAAGGCGCCUGAUUUAAGAAAUAUCUUGAAUAUUGAAAAUCCCAGGUCCCGAAAGGGUCGCGCGUUCGAACCGCGUCGUUACCA
Aspergillus saccharolyticus JOP 1030-1 is the source of this 104-nucleotide non-coding RNA. NCBI's taxonomy places the organism in Eukaryota, Fungi, Ascomycota, Eurotiomycetes, Eurotiales, Aspergillaceae. The record is from the annotation of a RefSeq genome assembly.